GCAGUGGUGGUUCAGUGGUAGAAUUCCUGCCUUCUGUGCAGGUGACUCCGGUUCGAAUCCUGGCCAGCGCA
Orycteropus afer afer is the source of this 71-nucleotide non-coding RNA. Lineage: Eukaryota; Metazoa; Chordata; Mammalia; Tubulidentata; Orycteropodidae. The record is from the annotation of a RefSeq genome assembly.